UCGUGAUCACGCGAGGUUUCCGGUCUUGUUCUCCUGCCCGACUCACUGAGGAGUUGAUCCUGAACCUCCGGAGGCUCCAUCAUGGGUUCUUCAUACUUUAUGAUGAACUCGAGCGUCAGUGUGAACUUCACUGAACACGAUCCACCCUGAUCAGGCAGCUUUGGAUGAUGUGGAAUCAAAUCUCAAUAUUCAUAUAUUCCUGCCCGACGAAGGUCUGCACGUGUCCUCUGGAUACAAGGUUCGAGGCCCUCGUGUCCCCCACGCUGCGUUCACUGCCUGCAGGAGGAAGCACGUGGGAAAGAUGUAAAGACAUGAAGGAAGUCCACGUGAGGACGAGUGGGUUCCUGAGACGACAUGAACCAGGUGGUGAAAGGAGCAGAUUUGGACUGAGUCAGAAGUCGCACAAGAAAAUACAUGAUGCAUGAGAUUGUGUAAACAUUUCAAAAACUGUUUAUUAAAAACUAAAAUGUA
Hippoglossus stenolepis (Pacific halibut) is the source of this 471-nucleotide long non-coding RNA. RefSeq lists it as uncharacterized. Lineage: Eukaryota; Metazoa; Chordata; Actinopteri; Pleuronectiformes; Pleuronectidae. The record is from RefSeq and is a predicted model, not a curated record. The transcript is spliced from 5 exons.